ACAAUUAUAAAUACAAUAAUCUCGUUAUAGAGGUAUUUAAAACGAAAAAAAGGAUCUAUUAGCUAAAUCAGAUGUAUCAAGGUAUCUAUCAGAGAAUUGUGAAACCAGAGAUGAUUAUUUUGAUACUCUCGGACGGUGGAAGGUUAAUUCUCCCAAGUAUGCAGUUCUCUCCCAAAAAGCCAGAGAUGUAUUGGCUGUUCCAAUUUCUACAGUUUCUUUUGAGUCAGCAUUUAACAUGGAUAAUCAUAUGCUUGAUCCAUUUAAAAGUUCACUACCACCUCUGAUGCUAGAGUCUCUUAUUUGUGGUCGGAAUUGGCUGAGGCCCGCAUCAACUCCAAUUUAUCUCCGAGAAACUAUGGAUGAACUAGAAAAAUAUGAGGAAGUUGAAUUAGAAUUCUCCGGAUCAGGUUCAGCCCUAACUACAAAAUUAUCUUUCUUCGAUGUUUAAUUCUUUGAGUUGCUGGGAGAUGGUGAAGUUGGCUGAAGAAGUACUAACUCUGAGUCUGCACUGGAUUUGGGAUUUUGUUCUCUGAAUUUGUUAUUCCAUGUAUAAAAAGACAUGUUUUGCCUAUGCUAAAGUCGUGGAAUUAGCAUUUAUGUAAUUUUGUUUUGUGCUCAAGUUACAUUGGAUAUCAAGGACAUGUAGCACAGAGAAAGUAACAUUGCUUUGUUAAAUUCUUGAAGCUUUAUGGAUUGAACAUGAUAUUUGAAGUUA
Long non-coding RNA from Ricinus communis (castor bean), 715 nucleotides. RefSeq lists it as uncharacterized. The transcript has 3 exons. The record is from RefSeq and is a predicted model, not a curated record. Lineage: Eukaryota; Viridiplantae; Streptophyta; Magnoliopsida; Malpighiales; Euphorbiaceae.